RNAcentral lists this transfer RNA (76 nucleotides) under Candidatus Phycosocius spiralis. Its description in RNAcentral is "tRNA-Phe". It matches the Rfam family "tRNA". From Rfam's summary of the family: Transfer RNA (tRNA) molecules are approximately 80 nucleotides in length. Their secondary structure includes four short double-helical elements and three loops (D, anti-codon, and T loops). Further hydrogen bonds mediate the characteristic L-shaped molecular structure. tRNAs have two regions of fundamental functional importance: the anti-codon, which is responsible for specific mRNA codon recognition, and the 3' end, to which the tRNAs corresponding amino acid is attached (by aminoacyl-tRNA synthetases). tRNAs cope with the degeneracy of the genetic code in two manners: having more than one tRNA (with a specific anti-codon) for a particular amino acid; and 'wobble' base-pairing, i.e. permitting non-standard base-pairing at the 3rd anti-codon position. Lineage: Bacteria; Pseudomonadati; Pseudomonadota; Alphaproteobacteria; Caulobacterales. The record is from RNAcentral.
GCCCGGAUAGCUCAGUCGGUAGAGCAGCGGACUGAAAAUCCGCGUGUCGCUGGUUCGAUCCCGGCUCCGGGCACCA